UACGUAGGGCGCAAGCGUUAUCCGGAAUUAUUGGGCGUAAAGAGCUCGUAGGCGGUUUGUCGCGUCUGCCGUGAAAGUCCGGGGCUCAACCCCGGAUCUGCGGUGGGUACGGGCAGACUAGAGUGAUGUAGGGGAGACUGGAAUUCCUGGUGUAGCGGUGAAAUGCGCAGAUAUCAGGAGGAACACCGAGGGCGAAGGCAGGUCUCUGGGCAUUAACUGACGCUGAGGAGCGAAAGCAUGGGGAGCGAACAGG
This 253-nucleotide ribosomal RNA is filed under the name uncultured bacterium. RNAcentral describes it as "partial 16S ribosomal RNA". It matches the Rfam family "Bacterial small subunit ribosomal RNA", at positions 524 to 776 of the family's 1533-position model. The record is from RNAcentral.